This 73-nucleotide transfer RNA is filed under the name Planctomycetota bacterium. RNAcentral describes it as "Planctomycetes bacterium (sediment metagenome) tRNA-Thr". It matches the Rfam family "tRNA". Rfam says of the family: Transfer RNA (tRNA) molecules are approximately 80 nucleotides in length. Their secondary structure includes four short double-helical elements and three loops (D, anti-codon, and T loops). Lineage: Bacteria; Pseudomonadati; Planctomycetota. The record is from RNAcentral.
GCUAGCGUAGCUCAACUGGCAGAGCAGUGGUUUUGUAAACCACAGGCUGUGGGUUCGAUUCCCACCGCUAGCU